Molecule: ribosomal RNA, 518 nt
Filed under: uncultured Glomus
Lineage: Eukaryota; Fungi; Glomeromycota; Glomeromycetes; Glomerales; Glomeraceae
Description: SSU rRNA
Rfam family: Eukaryotic small subunit ribosomal RNA
Source: RNAcentral
AGCAGCCGCGGUAAUUCCAGCUCCAAUAGCGUAUAUUAAAGUUGUUGCAGUUAAAAAGCUCGUAGUUGAAUUUCGGGAUCAGUACGCUGGUCGUGCCUCCGGUAUGCACUGGUGUCACUGAUUCCUCCUUCCUGAUGAACCGUAAUGCCAUUAAUUUGGUGUUGCGGGGAGACUGGACUGUUACUUUGAAAAAAUUAGAGUGUUUAAAGCAGGCUAACGCUUGAAUACAUUAGCAUGGAAUAAUGAAAUAGGACGUUCGAUUCCUAUUUUGUUGGUUUCUAGGAUUGACGUAAUGAUUAAUAGGGAUAGUUGGGGCAUUAGUAUUCAAUUGUCAGAGGUGAAAUUCUUGGAUUUAUUGAAGACUAACUACUGCGAAAGCAUUUGCCAAGGUAUGUUUUCAUUAAUCAAGGACGAAAGUUAGGGAUCGAAGACGAUCAGAUACCGUCGUAGUCUUAACCAUAAACUAUGCCGACUAGGGAUCGGGAUGAUUGUUAAUUUUUAUGUACUCAUUCGGUACG